CCGGCACGGGUGAGUAACACGUAUCCAACCUGCCGUCUACUCUUGGCCAGCCUUCUGGAAGGAAGAUUAAUCCAGGAUGGCAUCAUGAGUUCACAUGUCCGCAUGAUUAAAGGUAUUUUCCGGUAGACGAUGGGGAUGCGUUCCAUUAGAUAGUAGGCGGGGUAACGGCCCACCUAGUCAACGAUGGAUAGGGGUUCUGAGAGGAAGGUCCCCCACAUUGGAACUGAGACACGGUCCAA
This 239-nucleotide ribosomal RNA is filed under the name uncultured bacterium. RNAcentral's name for it is "partial 16S ribosomal RNA". It matches the Rfam family "Bacterial small subunit ribosomal RNA", at positions 100 to 334 of the family's 1533-position model. The record is from RNAcentral.